This 677-nucleotide long non-coding RNA is filed under the name Homo sapiens (human). Its description in RNAcentral is "non-protein coding lnc-COA1-3:2". Lineage: Eukaryota; Metazoa; Chordata; Mammalia; Primates; Hominidae. The record is from RNAcentral.
GUUAUACAAUUCAAUAUUGAAGCGAGAGAUUCUCCAGAACUUGCCCAGAAGCCAAGACGUCUGGAAAGGAUCUCAGCCUCUGUCAGCCUGCAGCUUGGGAAGAGUGAUUCACAGAGCCUGACUGUCCACUGCUGCUAAACCAUACACUGGCCUUGGCUCACACAUCUGACUGAACUGUCUCCUAUGACUAACUGCCUCUCUUUCUUCAGCCUUGCAAGUUUCCUGGGAGUCCUGGGAGUGGACUUCACAUAUAAAAGGGGACUCUGGGAGACCUAGUUCCUGGCUUCUCUUCUGGAAGUCAGGGAAGAGUAUAGGAAGGAGUGGCCACAGUGCCCAACUGACAAUUGACAAUUUCACCAACUGAGUUUCUGGAGGACUGCAAUUUAGUAUGUUCAAAGAAUAGUCCAAGAAGCCGCUCCGGACCCUCAGCAUUAAGACGAAGGAGGGGGCAAACAGGUGAGAAAAUCGAGGCAACAAGAGGUUGGUUAACGUGCCCAAGAUCAGAUCGCACAGCGGUAUAAUAGGAUGGAAAACUCCUAUCACAUAAUGAACGUUAAGUGAAAAAAAUUAGUAUCCAAAACUGUAAGUCUGAUGUCUCAUUCUUUUUAUAAUUUAAGUAGUUUAUAAAUACCCUCAUUAUUAGCCAUAUUUCUGAGCACUUCAUAUGUAGAGUGCAC